Molecule: transfer RNA, 75 nt
Filed under: Methanobacteriota archaeon
Lineage: Archaea; Methanobacteriati; Methanobacteriota
Also listed under: 1 other name
Description: Euryarchaeota archaeon tRNA-Gly
Rfam family: tRNA
About the family: Transfer RNA (tRNA) molecules are approximately 80 nucleotides in length. Their secondary structure includes four short double-helical elements and three loops (D, anti-codon, and T loops). Further hydrogen bonds mediate the characteristic L-shaped molecular structure. tRNAs have two regions of fundamental functional importance: the anti-codon, which is responsible for specific mRNA codon recognition, and the 3' end, to which the tRNAs corresponding amino acid is attached (by aminoacyl-tRNA synthetases). tRNAs cope with the degeneracy of the genetic code in two manners: having more than one tRNA (with a specific anti-codon) for a particular amino acid; and 'wobble' base-pairing, i.e. permitting non-standard base-pairing at the 3rd anti-codon position.
Source: RNAcentral
GCGCGUGUAGUGUAGUGGUUAUCACCCGGCGUUGCCAACGCCGGAACCCGAGUUCAACUCUCGGCGCGCGCACCA